Molecule: ribosomal RNA, 3028 nt
Filed under: Salmonella enterica subsp. enterica serovar Manchester str. ST278
Lineage: Bacteria; Pseudomonadati; Pseudomonadota; Gammaproteobacteria; Enterobacterales; Enterobacteriaceae
Description: bacterial LSU rRNA
Rfam family: Bacterial large subunit ribosomal RNA
Source: RNAcentral
GGGUUGUGAGGUUAAGCGACUAAGCGUACACGGUGGAUGCCCUGGCAGUCAGAGGCGAUGAAGGACGUGCUAAUCUGCGAUAAGCGCCGGUAAGGUGAUAUGAACCGUUAUAACCGGCGAUUUCCGAAUGGGGAAACCCAGUGUGAUUCGUCACACUAUCAUUAACUGAAUCCAUAGGUUAAUGAGGCGAACCGGGGGAACUGAAACAUCUAAGUACCCCGAGGAAAAGAAAUCAACCGAGAUUCCCCCAGUAGCGGCGAGCGAACGGGGAGGAGCCCAGAGCCUGAAUCAGCAUGUGUGUUAGUGGAAGCGUCUGGAAAGGCGCGCGAUACAGGGUGACAGCCCCGUACACAAAAGCGCAUGUGCUGUGAGCUCGAUGAGUAGGGCGGGACACGUGGUAUCCUGUCUGAAUAUGGGGGGACCAUCCUCCAAGGCUAAAUACUCCUGACUGACCGAUAGUGAACCAGUACCGUGAGGGAAAGGCGAAAAGAACCCCGGCGAGGGGAGUGAAAAAGAACCUGAAACCGUGUACGUACAAGCAGUGGGAGCCCCACCACUAAGCCAGUGGUGAACUCCACAUACGCAUCCUUUGCUGAGGAUACGGUUAACGGAGCGAAAGCGACGUUCAACCUCAAAAGAAGCAGAGGGGGCUUAGUGGUGGGGUGACUGCGUACCUUUUGUAUAAUGGGUCAGCGACUUAUAUUCUGUAGCAAGGUUAACCGAAUAGGGGAGCCGGAGGGAAACCGAGUCUUAACCGGGCGUUAAGUUGCAGGGUAUAGACCCGAAACCCGGUGAUCUAGCCAUGGGCAGGUUGAAGGUUGGGUAACACUAACUGGAGGACCGAACCGACUAAUGUUGAAAAAUUAGCGGAUGACCUGUGGCUGGGGGUGAAAGGCCAAUCAAACCGGGAGAUAGCUGGUUCUCCCCGAAAGCUAUUUAGGUAGCGCCUCGUGAAUUCAUCUCCGGGGGUAGAGCACUGUUUCGGCUAGGGGGCCAUCCCGGCUUACCAACCCGAUGCAAACUGCGAAUACCGGAGAAUGUUAUCACGGGAGACACACGGCGGGUGCUAACGUCCGUCGUGAAGAGGGAAACAACCCAGACCGCCAGCUAAGGUCCCAAAGUCAUGGUUAAGUGGGAAACGAUGUGGGAAGGCCCAGACAGCCAGGAUGUUGGCUUAGAAGCAGCCAUCAUUUAAAGAAAGCGUAAUAGCUCACUGGUCGAGUCGGCCUGCGCGGAAGAUGUAACGGGGCUAAACCAUGCACCGAAGCUGCGGCAGCGACGCUUAUGCGUUGUUGGGUAGGGGAGCGUUCUGUAAGCCUGUGAAGGUGGCCUGUGAGGGUUGCUGGAGGUAUCAGAAGUGCGAAUGCUGACAUAAGUAACGAUAAAGCGGGUGAAAAGCCCGCUCGCCGGAAGACCAAGGGUUCCUGUCCAACGUUAAUCGGGGCAGGGUGAGUCGACCCCUAAGGCGAGGCCGAAAGGCGUAGUCGAUGGGAAACGGGUUAAUAUUCCCGUACUUGGUGUUACUGCGAAGGGGGGACGGAGAAGGCUAUGUUGGCCGGGCGACGGUUGUCCCGGUUUAAGCGUGUAGGUGUGUGUUCCAGGUAAAUCCGGUUCACUUUAACACUGAGGCGUGACGACGAGGCACUACGGUGCUGAAGCAACAAAUGCCCUGCUUCCAGGAAAAGCCUCUAAGCAUCAGGUAACAUCAAAUCGUACCCCAAACCGACACAGGUGGUCAGGUAGAGAAUACCAAGGCGCUUGAGAGAACUCGGGUGAAGGAACUAGGCAAAAUGGUGCCGUAACUUCGGGAGAAGGCACGCUGACACGUAGGUGAAGUGAUUUACUCACGGAGCUGAAGUCAGUCGAAGAUACCAGCUGGCUGCAACUGUUUAUUAAAAACACAGCACUGUGCAAACACGAAAGUGGACGUAUACGGUGUGACGCCUGCCCGGUGCCGGAAGGUUAAUUGAUGGGGUCAGCGCAAGCGAAGCUCCUGAUCGAAGCCCCGGUAAACGGCGGCCGUAACUAUAACGGUCCUAAGGUAGCGAAAUUCCUUGUCGGGUAAGUUCCGACCUGCACGAAUGGCGUAAUGAUGGCCAGGCUGUCUCCACCCGAGACUCAGUGAAAUUGAACUCGCUGUGAAGAUGCAGUGUACCCGCGGCAAGACGGAAAGACCCCGUGAACCUUUACUAUAGCUUGACACUGAACAUUGAGCCUUGAUGUGUAGGAUAGGUGGGAGGCUUUGAAGUGUGGACGCCAGUCUGCAUGGAGCCGACCUUGAAAUACCACCCUUUAAUGUUUGAUGUUCUAACGUGGACCCGUAAUCCGGGUUGCGGACAGUGUCUGGUGGGUAGUUUGACUGGGGCGGUCUCCUCCUAAAGAGUAACGGAGGAGCACGAAGGUUGGCUAAUCCUGGUCGGACAUCAGGAGGUUAGUGCAAUGGCAUAAGCCAGCUUGACUGCGAGCGUGACGGCGCGAGCAGGUGCGAAAGCAGGUCAUAGUGAUCCGGUGGUUCUGAAUGGAAGGGCCAUCGCUCAACGGAUAAAAGGUACUCCGGGGAUAACAGGCUGAUACCGCCCAAGAGUUCAUAUCGACGGCGGUGUUUGGCACCUCGAUGUCGGCUCAUCACAUCCUGGGGCUGAAGUAGGUCCCAAGGGUAUGGCUGUUCGCCAUUUAAAGUGGUACGCGAGCUGGGUUUAGAACGUCGUGAGACAGUUCGGUCCCUAUCUGCCGUGGGCGCUGGAGAACUGAGGGGGGCUGCUCCUAGUACGAGAGGACCGGAGUGGACGCAUCACUGGUGUUCGGGUUGUCAUGCCAAUGGCACUGCCCGGUAGCUAAAUGCGGAAGAGAUAAGUGCUGAAAGCAUCUAAGCACGAAACUUGCCCCGAGAUGAGUUCUCCCUGAGACUUUAGGUCUCCUGAAGGAACGUUGAAGACGACGACGUUGAUAGGCCGGGUGUGUAAGCGCAGCGAUGCGUUGAGCUAACCGGUACUAAUGAACCGUGAGGCUUAACCUUACAACGCCGAAG